Molecule: transfer RNA, 86 nt
Filed under: Vineibacter terrae
Lineage: Bacteria; Pseudomonadati; Pseudomonadota; Alphaproteobacteria; Hyphomicrobiales
Also listed under: 1 other name
Description: Enhydrobacter sp. CC-CFT640 tRNA-Tyr
Rfam family: tRNA
About the family: Transfer RNA (tRNA) molecules are approximately 80 nucleotides in length. Their secondary structure includes four short double-helical elements and three loops (D, anti-codon, and T loops). Further hydrogen bonds mediate the characteristic L-shaped molecular structure. tRNAs have two regions of fundamental functional importance: the anti-codon, which is responsible for specific mRNA codon recognition, and the 3' end, to which the tRNAs corresponding amino acid is attached (by aminoacyl-tRNA synthetases). tRNAs cope with the degeneracy of the genetic code in two manners: having more than one tRNA (with a specific anti-codon) for a particular amino acid; and 'wobble' base-pairing, i.e. permitting non-standard base-pairing at the 3rd anti-codon position.
Source: RNAcentral
GGAGGGGUGGCCGAGCGGUCAAUGGCAGCUGACUGUAAAUCAGCCGGUUUACACCUACGAAGGUUCGAAUCCUUCCCCCUCCACCA